AAAAAAUCAGGGUUUCGUUGUCUUUUUAAGAACGGAUCUCUAGUAGAAUUCAGGGAAAACAAAUUCAAUUUUUUUGGGUGAACCUAUGGAUUUUUUAUAAGUACCAAUGGGUUCAGUUAAUGUUGAAACAAUA
RNAcentral lists this small nucleolar RNA (133 nucleotides) under Thalictrum thalictroides. RNAcentral describes it as "Small nucleolar RNA snoR74". It matches the Rfam family "Small nucleolar RNA snoR74". Lineage: Eukaryota; Viridiplantae; Streptophyta; Magnoliopsida; Ranunculales; Ranunculaceae. The record is from Rfam by way of RNAcentral.